AUUGAACGCUGGCGGCAUGCCUUACACAUGCAAGUCGAACGGCAGCACGGGUGCUUGCACCUGGUGGCGAGUGGCGAACGGGUGAGUAAUACAUCGGAACAUGUCCUGUAGUGGGGGAUAGCCCGGCGAAAGCCGGAUUAAUACCGCAUACGAUCUACGGAUGAAAGCGGGGGACCUUCGGGCCUCGCGCUAUAGGGUUGGCCGAUGGCUGAUUAGCUAGUUGGUGGGGUAAAGGCCUACCAAGGCGACGAUCAGUAGCUGGUCUGAGAGGACGACCAGCCACACUGGGACUGAGACACGGCCCAGACUCCUACGGGAGGCAGCAGUGGGGAAUUUUGGACAAUGGGCGAAAGCCUGAUCCAGCAAUGCCGCGUGUGUGAAGAAGGCCUUCGGGUUGUAAAGCACUUUUGUCCGGAAAGAAAUCCUUGGCUCUAAUACAGUCGGGGGAUGACGGUACCGGAAGAAUAAGCACCGGCUAACUACGUGCCAGCAGCCGCGGUAAUACGUAGGGUGCGAGCGUUAAUCGGAAUUACUGGGCGUAAAGCGUGCGCAGGCGGUUUGCUAAGACCGAUGUGAAAUCCCCGGGCUCAACCUGGGAACUGCAUUGGUGACUGGCAGGCUAGAGUAUGGCAGAGGGGGGUAGAAUUCCACGUGUAGCAGUGAAAUGCGUAGAGAUGUGGAGGAAUACCGAUGGCGAAGGCAGCCCCCUGGGCCAAUACUGACGCUCAUGCACGAAAGCGUGGGGAGCAAACAGGAUUAGAUACCCUGGUAGUCCACGCCCUAAACGAUGUCAACUAGUUGUUGGGGAUUCAUUUCCUUAGUAACGUAGCUAACGCGUGAAGUUGACCGCCUGGGGAGUACGGUCGCAAGAUUAAAACUCAAAGGAAUUGACGGGGACCCGCACAAGCGGUGGAUGAUGUGGAUUAAUUCGAUGCAACGCGAAAAACCUUACCUACCCUUGACAUGGUCGGAAUCCCGCUGAGAGGUGGGAGUGCUCGAAAGAGAACCGGCGCACAGGUGCUGCAUGGCUGUCGUCAGCUCGUGUCGUGAGAUGUUGGGUUAAGUCCCGCAACGAGCGCAACCCUUGUCCUUAGUUGCUACGCAAGAGCACUCUAAGGAGACUGCCGGUGACAAACCGGAGGAAGGUGGGGAUGACGUCAAGUCCUCAUGGCCCUUAUGGGUAGGGCUUCACACGUCAUACAAUGGUCGGAACAGAGGGUUGCCAACCCGCGAGGGGGAGCUAAUCCCAGAAAACCGAUCGUAGUCCGGAUUGCACUCUGCAACUCGAGUGCAUGAAGCUGGAAUCGCUAGUAAUCGCGGAUCAGCAUGCCGCGGUGAAUACGUUCCCGGGUCUUGUACACACCGCCCGUCACACCAUGGGAGUGGGUUUUACCAGAAGUGGCUAGUCUAACCGCAAGGAGGACGGUCACCACGGUAGGAUUCAUGACUGGGGUGAAGUCGUAACAAGGUAGCCGUAUCGGAAGGUGCGGCUGGAUCACCUCCUUUCCAGAGCUUCUCGCAAAGUUGAGCGCUCACGCUUAUCGGCUGUAAAUUUAAAGACAGACUCAGGGGUCUGUAGCUCAGUCGGUUAGAGCACCGUCUUGAUAAGGCGGGGGUCGUUGGUUCGAAUCCAACCAGACCCACCAUUGUCUGGCGGUAACACCUGAGGCAAAUCUGUACUCAUGGGGGCAUAGCUCAGCUGGGAGAGCACCUGCUUUGCAAGCAGGGGGUCGUCGGUUCGAUCCCGUCUGCCUCCACCAAUCUUCAAUGACAAACAUUCGAAUGACGAUUGUUCGAGUCUUUGUCAUUGGCGAUUGAGCCAGUCAGAGUGAUACGUAGUAUGUAUCGGCUGUCGUUCUUUAACAAUCUGGAAGAAGUAAGUAAUUUGGAUAGCGGAAGCGUCUUGAGAUGGACGUGAAAGUUAUCCGGGUUGUGAUUGUAUCGAUGUAUCUCAAGAUGAUUCGAACUCUAUGUUUGACUCAAUUGGAAUACGGCACAACGCGAGAACUCAACCUGUAGCGACUGUCGAUGAGACAGACUCGUUAUAGGGUCAAGCGAACAAGUGCAUGUGGUGGAUGCCUUGGCGAUCACAGGCGAUGAAGGACGCGGUAGCCUGCGAAAAGCUACGGGGAGCUGGCAAACAAGCUUUGAUCCGUAGAUGUCCGAAUGGGGAAACCCACUCCUUUUGGAGUAUCCAUGGCUGAAUACAUAGGCCAUGCGAAGCGAACGCGGUGAACUGAAACAUCUAAGUAACCGCAGGAAAAGAAAUCAACCGAGAUUCCCAAAGUAGUGGCGAGCGAAAUGGGAUGAGCCUUGCACUCUUUAUUUGUAUUGUUAGCCGAACGCUCUGGAAAGUGCGGCCAUAGCAGGUGAUAGCCCUGUAGGCGAAAACAGUAUGAAAGAACUAGGUGUGCGACAAGUAGGGCGGGACACGUGAAAUCCUGUCUGAAGAUGGGGGGACCAUCCUCCAAGGCUAAAUACUCGUGAUCGACCGAUAGUGAACC
RNAcentral lists this ribosomal RNA (2504 nucleotides) under uncultured Burkholderia sp. RNAcentral's name for it is "partial contains 16S ribosomal RNA, 16S-23S ribosomal RNA intergenic spacer, and 23S ribosomal RNA". The stretch from base 1 to 1506 matches the Rfam family "Bacterial small subunit ribosomal RNA". The record is from RNAcentral. Lineage: Bacteria; Pseudomonadati; Pseudomonadota; Betaproteobacteria; Burkholderiales; Burkholderiaceae.